GGGGGUAUAACUCAAUAGGUAGAGAACAUUCUUUGCAGGUAUGUAGUAGCGGUUCGAGCCCGCUUAUCUCCA
Molecule: transfer RNA, 72 nt
Filed under: Nephromyces sp. ex Molgula occidentalis
Lineage: Eukaryota; Apicomplexa; Aconoidasida; Nephromycida
Description: tRNA-Ala
Rfam family: tRNA
About the family: Transfer RNA (tRNA) molecules are approximately 80 nucleotides in length.
Source: RNAcentral